Long non-coding RNA from Heterocephalus glaber (naked mole-rat), 1705 nucleotides. The record is from Ensembl. Lineage: Eukaryota; Metazoa; Chordata; Mammalia; Rodentia; Bathyergidae.
CCACUGUCCUCUGAAAGAUGGGUGGCCAGAGCCAUCCAUGACCUGGGCCUCUGCUUGUGAUUGGGCAGGAUGGGCUUAGAGCUUCAUUCGUCCAUCUUCGGCUGAGGUUCCAACUGAGGCUGUGAUCAGAACAGAGGAAGGAAGACUGGCCCUGAGAUGUUGCUCAAACUCUGCUAGGCAGAGGGGCGCGGCCUCCCAGUCCCCAUUCAUUCACCACUGUCAUCGUCAAAUAGGAGGACAUUGGAUUUCUUAUUAGGGAAACAGGAAAGAGUCUGGGCUUUUAAAUUCCACCUGUUGCACUUGGAGAAACCUGAAAACAGAGGCUAAUAUUAAAGAUAAAAGACCGAUACCAAAUGUUACUGACUUCCGCCGUUAUUUUGGAGACGUCGUGGAUAUUCUGCUGUUUAUUUCUGGCCCCAACUUGUUUGAGAAGCUUAUAAAGUGAAGGUUAGACCAAAGCCAGUCCAGGACCUCCCCGGUUAAAUCGGGAGCGUCAGCCACCGAGCACAGCAGGCCUGCGUUCCUGCCUCCUCCACGCCCAGCCCAGCGCGGGACCCCGGAAGGGCGGCCCGCCCAGCAGCCGGCCGUCCGGCCGUCGGUCUGUCCGCAGCGCGAAAGCCGCCUUGGAAGGACUCACUGCUGCCCUGGAGUCGACCUCUGUAACUGGAGCGGCGCCCGGACCCGAUGCCAGGAGUGCAAACAGCCUCCAGAAAGGCGGAGUUCUUCCGAAGAGCAGCAAGAGCCGCAGGAGACGGCCUUGCACCUUCCAGUCCGAGCCCGGCUCAGCCGGCUGAGUACUCGCUUGGCCCCGCUGUCAGGGCAGCUUGAGCACGCGGAGAAACCUGAGUCAGCUUUGAACAGUCUGUGUACAGUGACAGGCCACUCCUGGGACACUUGGCGCCUGUGCUCACAGGUCUGGUGGCUUGCUCGGCCCCUCCCCCCUGCUGGGGCUGAACCGGUGCCACCUCAGAAGCCAGACUGCAUCCUGCCUACCCUGUGCCUCUUCUCAUGAAGAGGACAGGACCCUCUGUGAUCUAAGCCGUAUCCUCUCUGCCCUCAACGCCUCACAUGCCCUCCCUUGAAGACAGUGGGAAGUCAGCUACCAUCCUGUCUCAAGAAGAGGCCUGAGCAGCAAGGAGCUUGCUAUGUCUUGGGUGUGGUUUUUCUACCAAAGGUUCAUGUAGAAGAUUGAUCCACAGUGUGGUGAUGUUAAAAAGUGGUGGGAUCUUGCCAGGAGUGGUGGGGGAGGCCUGUAAUCGUAGCACCUGGGAGGCCGAGGCAGGAGCAUUGCAAAUUCAAGCCCAAUCUGGGCAACUUAUUGACCUAGCAAGACCCUGUCUAAAAAUAAAAAAUUUUUUUAAAUGUCUGGGCUGUAUUUAUUUAUUUAUUUUUGGUACCGGGGAUCUGAGGAUCGAACUUGGGUCCUUGUGCUUGCACAGCAGGUGGUGAAACCACAGAGCUAAAUCCCUGGCCCAGGGCUAUAGCUCAGUACAAAGGCUGUGGGUUCAAUCUCUAGUACUAAAAAGAAGGAGGAAGAGGAGGAAAAGAAAGAAGGCAAACCUAUCCACCCUACUCCUUCUCAUGUUUCCUGUCCCCCCCCCCCCCCGCCAUCCUCUGUGCUAUUAUGCAGCACAGAACUCUCAUCAGAUGCUGCCACUAUGCUGUUUGGACUUCUCAGUCACCAGAAUCAUGAAUUAAAUAAAAC